UACGGAGGGGGCUAGCGUUGUUCGGAAUUACUGGGCGUAAAGCGCACGUAGGCGGAUCGUUAAGUCGAGGGUGAAAUCCUGGAGCUCAACUCCAGAACUGCCUUCGAUACUGGCGAUCUCGAGUCCGGAAGAGGUGAGUGGAACUCCUAGUGUAGAGGUGGAAUUCGUAGAUAUUAGGAAGAACACCAGUGGCGAAGGCGGCUCACUGGUCCGGUACUGACGCUGAGGUGCGAAAGCGUGGGGAGCAAACAGG
Molecule: ribosomal RNA, 253 nt
Filed under: uncultured bacterium
Lineage: Bacteria
Description: partial 16S ribosomal RNA
Rfam family: Bacterial small subunit ribosomal RNA
Source: RNAcentral